RNAcentral lists this ribosomal RNA (1687 nucleotides) under Vorticellides sp. 1b MD-2012. RNAcentral describes it as "SSU rRNA". It matches the Rfam family "Eukaryotic small subunit ribosomal RNA". Lineage: Eukaryota; Ciliophora; Oligohymenophorea; Sessilida; Vorticellidae. The record is from RNAcentral.
AGUCAUAUGCUUGUCUUAAAGAUUAAUCCAUGCAUGUGUAAGUAUAAGUAUUGUACAGCGAAACUGCGAAUGGCUCAUUACAUCAGUUAUAAUUUAUUUGAUAAUCGAAAGUUACAUGGAUAACCGUGACAAAUUACAGCUAAUACAUGCAGUCAGACCUGGUCCAAGGGUCGUAAUUAUUAGUAUUAAACCAUUUCCGUAAGGAGUGUGAUGAAUCAUAAUAAUCGAACGAAUCGCCUUCGGUGCGAUAAAUCAUUCAAGUUUCUGCCCUAUCAGCUUUGGAUGGUAGUGUAUUGGACUACCAUGGCAGUCACGGGUAACGGAGAAUUAGGGUUCGAUUCCGGAGAGGGAGCCUGAGAAACGGCUACCACAUCUACGGAAGGCAGCAGGAGCGAAAAUUGCCCAAUCCCGACACGGGGAGGCAGUGACGAGAAAUAACAACUCUUGGUUAUUCUAAGAAGUGUAAUGAGGAUAAUUUAAAACCCUUACCGAAAGCAAUUGGAGGGCAAGUCUGGUGCCAGCAGCCGCGGUAAUUCCAGCUCCAAUAGCGUAUAUUAAAGUUGUUGCAGUUAAAAAGCUCGUAGUUGAAGUUCUGGCUGUUCGAUCCUCGAGCUCUGUAGCCGAGGCGUCGACAGUCAUCCGCUUGCAAAUAUAUGUUCGCCUUUAACCGGGCGGCUAUAUGAGCAAGCAUUUUACCUUGAGAAAAACAGAGUGUUCCAGGCAGGUUUGUCCGGAAUGCAUUAGCAUGGAAUAAUAGAAUAUGACUGAAGUCGAUUUAUUGGUUUGAGGCUUUAGUAAUGAUUAAUAGGAACAGUCGGGGGCAUUGGUACUUGACAGUCAGAGGUGAAACUUCUAGGAUUUGUCAAAGACUAACAAAUGCGAAAGCAUUUGCCAAGGAUGUUUUCAUUAAUCAAGAACGAAAGUUAGGGGAUCAAAGACGAUCAGAUACCGUCCUAGUCUUAACUAUAAACUAUACCGACUCGGAUUCAGAUGAAUCAUAAAGUUCAUUUGGGACCGUAGGAGAAAUCAAAGUUUUUGGGUUCUGGGGGAAGUAUGGUCGCAAGGCUGAAACUUAAAGGAAUUGACGGUUUUGCACCACCAUGGAGUGGAGUCUGCGGCUUAAUUUGACUCAACACUGGGAAACUCAUCAGGGCAAGAAGAUUGUAGGAUUGACAGAUUGAGAGUUCUUUCUUGAUUGGUCUAGUGGUGGUGCAUGGCCGUUCUUAGUUGGUGGAGUGAUUUGUCUGGUUAAUUCCGUUAACGAACGAGACCUUAACCUGCUAACUAGUACUUCGAUGACAAAUCGAUGCUACUUCUUAGAGGGACUAUGUGAUGUAAUCACAUGGAAGUUUGAGGCAAUAACAGGUCUGUGAUGCCCUUAGAUGUCCUGAGCUGCACGCGUACUACAAUGGUGCUUUCAUCGAGCUUUUCCUGAUCCGAAAGGAUUUGGGUAAUCUUUUUAGUGAGCACCGUGCUUGGGAUAGAUCUUUGUAAUUAUGGAUCUUGAACUAGGGAUUCCUAGUAAGCACGGGUCAUCAGCCCGUGCUGAUUACGUCCCUGCAAAAUGUACACACCGCCCGUCGCUAUUACCGAUUGAGUGUAAAGGUGAACCUUCUCGAUAGCGUUUACGUUAGAAAUUAAGUAAACCUUUGCACUUAGAGGAAAUAAAAGUCGUAACAAGGUUUCC